Long non-coding RNA from Neocloeon triangulifer, 1721 nucleotides. RefSeq lists it as uncharacterized. The record is from RefSeq and is a predicted model, not a curated record. The transcript has 8 exons. Lineage: Eukaryota; Metazoa; Arthropoda; Insecta; Ephemeroptera; Baetidae.
UUUUCAAAUUUAAUUUCACGAUUUUUUUACUUUCGGAACGUUUGCGCGCACAAAUUUCUUUUGGAAACUCAUCACAGUUGGCCCCUUUUUCUAUAGAAAAUUUUCAUUUCAAAAUUUACAACUGUUGUCCUAGGUAGCCUUAUACCCUUUUGUAAUACAUAAAAUCGGGGGAGGUGAGACAUUCCGCCGAUUGGAAGUUGGAAUUGCGGUGUGUUUUCGUGUCGUAUCUUGUACGGAUUUGUGAUGCAGACCUGCAGAGACACUACAGGCAUGCAGAAAUACCAGCGCUGAAGGGGUAAACAGGGAAGUAAAGAGGGGGAAUUGGAGAAGACCGAGAUCACAGAGAACACGAGACCAGAAACUUCGACCUUAUUGCCGCCAAAAAAAGCUUCUCGGGACGCGAUACCAGUCUUUUCUCAGUCCUGUGUGCCUGCAUUUCGAGCUGCGCGUGUGGCGGACUGGCGGAUUUCUCGUCUUUGGUACCUCCAGUAUUCGGCACUUAAGGGCUGCAACCCCGGCCGGGACAUCCCUCUGAAUCGACUUCGGCAUUUUCGCUUGUCGACCGUCGACCGACAAUAUCUCGCCAGAUUUGACCGAUGGUUUGCACCGGCCGCUGGAGUUUUUUACGAGCUUGUAAAUGUGCAUCUUGCCCUUUCGAAAGGAUAAUAUCCCACAUUUUCUCAUUUUGAAAUUGCUGACGACAAUAACGAUGGUGAGGCAAUUGGAAAUGACAACAUCAACAACAACCAGAACAUCAACGCCUUUAUCCUAACCGUGGCAAAUUUCAAAAAGUUUGACGCAUACGUCACCUUUGUAGCGGGUGCGACGAGAUCCCAAUACACACUGAACUGUCCUUUUGACGCACUGGACAUUGAAUUGCGGACCACCAGAAAAACCGUAAAAAGUAUUUUGAGCCCUGUCCAACCUGAUGAGCAAUCUGAGGUGUUUGAAGAGUUAAGGUACCUACUGAAAAGAGAGGAAACGAGGCGGUUCAUGGCUCGAGGGCACACCAUCAUCCCAAACUUUGUAGAUAAUAUUGUAGCAGUUUCUCAAGACCUUCGCAAUACCAUCCAUAAAUUCAAUUGGCACUUGAAUCAUAAGGCCAGAGCACUGUUAUUGCCUCGAAUGGCAUCUGGUGAUGUGACUGACCUGGAAAAUGUCCUCAUCGCUAACGUGCUUGUUGACUUCAUUCCAGAAUUGAAAGGCCCUGAGAGAGAUUGUAUUACAACAUUUGUCUACAGGGAUAACCAGAAGCAAACAUUAUUCAGUAAUGUAUGUUGUUCCAUGCCGGGACUAGUCCCACCUCCUGAAGGCAUCAAAAUGAUGUCUCCUCACUGAACUGCUUACUCCAUGCUUUACUUCUGAUGGCACAUAAAAGGUUGUAUAGAUCUUUUAACCAAUUGAUGUGGAAGUGCAAAGCAGGCCCACUCCGUGAUCUACUCUACGACCUUUACAGUAGUUCUGGAAAAUACAGCCUCGAGAUCCAAAGUCUGUGGCAACAGACUGUGGUCAAGUACCUUGGGCCUAUCAAGGAUAACGAGUGGAAUCUAGUCUCCCAGUGGGCUCUUGAAGUCUUCAGAAUGGAGACAGUACUCCAGCGAGUCGAAGAAUGCACCUCGUGCCCCAGGAAAGAAGCUUAUUUCGGCCUGCCUCCGCACGUGACUCCGGCAGAGCUGGGGCACUUCACUGGGAACUUGCUGCCCACCGAGAAUUGCCCUGAG